UGGACCUACGGGGCGCAGCAGUGGGGAAUAUUGGGCAAUGGGCGCAAGCCUGACCCAGCAACGCCGCGUGAAGGAAGAAGGCUUUCGGGUUGUAAACUUCUUUUCUGAGGGACGAAGAAAGUGACGGUACCUCAGGAAUAAGCCACGGCUAACUACGUGCCAGCAGCCGCGGUAAUACGUAGGUGGCAAGCGUUAUCCGGAUUUAUUGGGUGUAAAGGGCGUGUAGGCGGGAAAGCAAGUCAGAUGUGAAAACUCAGGG
Molecule: ribosomal RNA, 259 nt
Filed under: uncultured bacterium
Lineage: Bacteria
Description: partial 16S ribosomal RNA
Rfam family: Bacterial small subunit ribosomal RNA
Source: RNAcentral